RNAcentral lists this ribosomal RNA (390 nucleotides) under uncultured bacterium. Its description in RNAcentral is "bacterial SSU rRNA". It matches the Rfam family "Bacterial small subunit ribosomal RNA", at positions 47 to 434 of the family's 1533-position model. The record is from RNAcentral.
CCUAACACAUGCAAGUCGAACGGUAACAGGAAGAAGCUUGCUUCUUUGCUGACGAGUGGCGGACGGGUGAGUAAUGUCUGGGAAACUGCCUGAUGGAGGGGGAUAACUACUGGAAACGGUAGCUAAUACCGCAUAACGUCGCAAGACCAAAGAGGGGGACCUUCGGGCCUCUUGCCAUCGGAUGUGCCCAGAUGGGAUUAGCUAGUAGGUGGGGUAACGGCUCACCUAGGCGACGAUCCCUAGCUGGUCUGAGAGGAUGACCAGCCACACUGGAACUGAGACACGGUCCAGACUCCUACGGGAGGCAGCAGUGGGGAAUAUUGCACAAUGGGCGCAAGCCUGAUGCAGCCAUGCCGCGUGUAUGAAGAAGGCCUUCGGGUUGUAAAGACG